This 128-nucleotide microRNA precursor is filed under the name Pelobates cultripes (western spadefoot toad). Lineage: Eukaryota; Metazoa; Chordata; Amphibia; Anura; Pelobatidae. The record is from RNAcentral.
UACACACUUAUACACUGUCUAGGUGUAUUUUACUAAUAUAUAUAUAUAUAUAUAUAUAUAUAUAUAUAUAUAUAUAUAUAUAUAUAUAUAUAAUAGUAAAAUACACCUAGACAGUGUAUAAGUUUAUU